This 268-nucleotide ribosomal RNA is filed under the name uncultured Pelotomaculum sp. RNAcentral describes it as "partial 16S ribosomal RNA". It matches the Rfam family "Bacterial small subunit ribosomal RNA", at positions 1115 to 1382 of the family's 1533-position model. Lineage: Bacteria; Bacillati; Bacillota; Clostridia; Eubacteriales; Desulfotomaculaceae. The record is from RNAcentral.
UUGCUAACAGGUGAAGCUGAGCACUCUAGACGAACUGCCGUUGACAAAACGGAGGAAGGUGGGGAUGACGUCAAAUCAUCAUGCCCCUUAUGUUCUGGGCUACACACGUGCUACAAUGGCCGGUACAGACGGAGGCGAAGCCGCGAGGCGGAGCAAAUCCGAAAAAGCCGGUCUCAGUUCGGAUUGCAGGCUGCAAUUCGCCUGCAUGAAGUCGGAAUCGCUAGUAAUCGCAGGUCAGCAUACUGCGGUGAAUACGUUCCCGGGCCUU